Molecule: ribosomal RNA, 87 nt
Filed under: Bacillus cereus
Lineage: Bacteria; Bacillati; Bacillota; Bacilli; Caryophanales; Bacillaceae
Also listed under: 6 other names
Source: RNAcentral
CGUUCCCAUACCGAACACGGAAGUUAAGCUCUCUAGCGCCGAUGGUAGUUGGGACCUUGUCCCUGUGAGAGUAGGACAUCGCCAAGC